RNAcentral lists this ribosomal RNA (319 nucleotides) under uncultured eukaryote. RNAcentral describes it as "partial 18S ribosomal RNA". It matches the Rfam family "Eukaryotic small subunit ribosomal RNA", at positions 1470 to 1796 of the family's 1831-position model. The record is from RNAcentral.
CCCUUAGAUGUUCUGGGCAGCACGCGCGCUACAAUGGUCUUCGCAAACGGAUGCAUUCUCGAAGGAGAAUGCCAAUCUUGGAAUCUAUGCCUUGGUCGGGACAGUUGCUUGCAAUUUUUCGACUCGAACCAGGAAUUCCUUGUAAUCGUGAUUCAUCACAUCACGAUGAAUACGUCCCUGCCCUUUGUACACACCGCCCGUCGCUCCUACCGAUCGAAGAGUUAGGUGAAUUGUUUUGAUCGAUAAGAUUUGACUAUGGUCAACUCUCGUUGUGAAAUUCUGUGAAUCUGACUGUUUAGAGGAACGAAAAGUCGUAACA